Molecule: long non-coding RNA, 514 nt
Organism: Dermacentor silvarum
Lineage: Eukaryota; Metazoa; Arthropoda; Arachnida; Ixodida; Ixodidae
Exons: 4
Source: RefSeq, a predicted model, not a curated record
UCAGCACGUGCAAGUCAAAAGAGUUGGGGUGAAAGGAAAAAAAAAAGAAGUUAUUCUGCCAGAAGGAGAGCUUACAUCUGGAACCUAAGUUUUCGUACUCCUUUCUCUUAACGCAAAAGACGCGCAUUUUCUAGCUUUGCGUAGUACUAUUCCUGCUGGGGAGCUCUUUACAUACAGUCGGGUCAUCUUCGUUUGCACCACAAUCACCGAGCCCAGUUACGUGAUUACGCAAUGAAGGCUGUUUCUUAUAUUACAUUGGCGUUCUUUAGCCAAACAUACGUCUUUCACGCAUUUCUUACGACAUUGACUACGGCUGCGGACUAUUAUGAGGAAAGCACCACACCUUACCCAAACUGGCGGGAUGAUUGUAUGAAGAUAGGAAGACCGUGCGCUACCCACAUGGACUGCUGCGCCCGUUUAUUUUGCGAAGAUUACAACUGCGUAAACCCCUUCAAUCGAUGAUCGAGCAUGCCUGCAAUGCGAAUAAGCAUAUAAAAAUAAACAAUGUUGUUGA